GAUGAACGCUGGCGGCGUGCCUAAUACAUGCAAGUCGAGCGAACGGACGAGAAGCUUGCUUCUCUGAUGUUAGCGGCGGACGGGUGAGUUACACGUGUAUAACCUACCUAUAAGACUGGGAUAACUUCGGGAAACCGUAUCUAAUACCGGAUAAUAUUUUGAACCGCAUGGUUCAAAAGUGAAAGACGGUCUUGCUGUCACUUAUAGAUGGAUCCGCGCUGCAUUAGCUAGUUGUUAAGCUAACGGCUUACCAAGGCAACGAUGCAUAGCCGACCUGAGAGGGGGGUCGGCCACACUGGAACGGGGACACGGACAAGAGUACUAAGGGAGGGAGCAGUAGGGAAUCUUACGCAAUAGGCGAAAGCCUGGCGGAGCAACGCCGAGUGAGUGAUAAAGGUCUUCGGAUCGUAAAAAUCUGUUAUUAGGGGAGAACAGAUGUGUAAGGAACUGUGCACAUCUUGACGGUACCUAAUCAGAAAGCCACGGCUAACUACGUG
Molecule: ribosomal RNA, 497 nt
Filed under: uncultured bacterium
Lineage: Bacteria
Description: partial 16S ribosomal RNA
Rfam family: Bacterial small subunit ribosomal RNA
Source: RNAcentral